Molecule: non-coding RNA, 71 nt
Organism: Podarcis lilfordi (Lilford's wall lizard)
Lineage: Eukaryota; Metazoa; Chordata; Lepidosauria; Squamata; Lacertidae
Source: the annotation of a GenBank genome assembly
UGUGUGUGUGUGUGUAUAUAUAUAUAUAUGCACUGUAUAUGUGUAUAUAUAUAAACAUAAACACACACACG